GNUCAGGAAAGUCUGGAGUAAAAGANUAUGGCUCAACCAUAGUGUGCUCUGGAAACUGUCUGACUUGAGUGCAGAAGGGGAGAGUGGAAUUCCAUGUGUAGCGGUGAAAUGCGUAGAUAUAUGGAGGAACACCAGUGGCGAAAGCGGCUCUCUGGUCUGUCACUGACGCUGAGGCUCGAAAGCGUGGGUAGCGAACAGGAUUAGAUACCCUGGUAGUNCACGCCGUAAACGAUGAGUGCUAGGUGUUAGGCCCUUUCCGGGGCUUAGUGCCGGAGCUAACGCAAUAAGCACUCCGCCUGGGGAGUACGACCGCAAGGUUGAAACUCAAAGGAAUUGACGGGGGCCCGCACAAGCGGUGGAGCAUGUGGUUUAAUUCGAAGCAACGCGAAGAACCUUACCAGGUCUUGACAUCCCGAUGCUAUUCUUAGAGAUAGGAAGUUACUUCGGUACAUCGGAGACAGGUGGUGCAUGGUUGUCGUCAGCUCGUGUCGUGAGAUGUUGGGUUAAGUCCCGCAACGAGCGCAACCCUUAUUGUUAGUUGCCAUCAUUAAGUUGGGCACUCUAGCGAGACUGCCGGUAAUAAACCGGAGGAAGGUGGGGAUGACGUCAAAUCAUCAUGCCCCUUAUGACCUGGGCUACACACGUGCUACAAUGGUCGGUACAACGAGUUGCGAGCCGGUGACGGCAAGCUAAUCUCUGAAAGCCGAUCUCAGUUCGGAUUGGAGGCUGCAACUCGCCUCCAUGAAGUCGGAAUCGCUAGUAAUCGCGGAUCAGCACGCCGCGGUGAAUACGUUCCCGGGCCUUGUACACACCGCCCGUCACACCACGAGAGUUUGUAACACCCGAAGUCGGUGAGGUANCCUUUUAGGG
RNAcentral lists this ribosomal RNA (870 nucleotides) under uncultured bacterium. Its description in RNAcentral is "bacterial SSU rRNA". It matches the Rfam family "Bacterial small subunit ribosomal RNA", at positions 577 to 1447 of the family's 1533-position model. The record is from RNAcentral.